This 1259-nucleotide long non-coding RNA is filed under the name Homo sapiens (human). RNAcentral describes it as "LHRI_LNC1377.4". The record is from RNAcentral. Lineage: Eukaryota; Metazoa; Chordata; Mammalia; Primates; Hominidae.
GGGGCCCAGGAUCCGGAGCUUCGUGCGGGGCCGAGUCCAGGUUUGGGGCCCGGGAGGCGGGGCCAGUUAGGGCGAGGGUCCCUGGGAUCGUCGGGUCAGGCCUUGGGCUAACGUAGGCACUCUCGCAGUUCCUCCGCCUUCAGGAAGGUCUUUUCAGCAGGGGCCUUACGGGUGCAUGCUUCGGUCCUGGAGGCCUUAUCCUAGCCUCCUCUCCAUCAGCGCCACCCGUCUGGGGCCCGAAAGGAGGGAGCUUUCCCUCUGUCCCCCAGCCUUUGGACUGUCACUAAACAAGCCAUUCGUUCAUCAAAUACUUUUUAAGCGCCUACCAUGUGCCUGACAAGGGAGAUGUAACGGUGAGAAAAACUAGGUGUGGUCCAGGCCCUUCAGGGGCUCAGGUGCUCGUGGAAGAAGUGGACAUUGAAGUACUUAUCACACAAAUGAGGAUAAAAGUACGAUAACGAUAUCUACCACGAAGCUGUUGUUCCCCACCAGAACCAAAUGAGCGCAAGAUCUGACAAAGAAAAAAAAAGGUUCAUCUUUUAUUCCUCCAAACACUUUCAUUUAAAUCAAGAGGAUGGGAUGUGGUUAUUGCUGUGUUUUUAGACAGAAUCAACGGUUUCUGGGUCUGAGAUGUUGCAUACACCUUCUCAGUCCCUGUAUCCUGAGAUGGAGUCACCUGAGAAUCCACAGCAAGUCCUAACCAGGGAUGGGUCUGGGUGAUUAAGGAAGGUUGGCUUCAGAACUGGGCCAGGGGCACUGCUUUGCUUUUGCUGUUUUGAUCAGCUCUCUGCCUGAAGGAGACAAGAAAAACCAACGGGAACAGCUGGGGAAACUGAGUUACAGAGCUUGUCUGCACUGAGUCAUCAGGAGCAAAUGCUAGAUCAGAUAGGGUCUCUCUCUCUGCCACCCAGGCCAGAGUGCAGUUGACGCAGGGCAGGGGAGCCCCGAAGUGGAGCAUAGUGUGUCCGGAACUGGUGGGUUCUUGGUCUCACUGACUUCAAGAAAGAAGCCGCGGACCCUCGCGGUGAGUGUCACAGUUCUUAAAGGCUGCGUGUCCAGAGUUUGUUCCUUCUGAUGCUCGGAUGUGUUCAGAGUUUCUUCCUUCUGGUGGUUUUGUGGUCUCGCUGGCUUCAGGAGUGAAGCUGCAGACCUUCAAGAAAUGAGGCUUCUCCCCAGGACCAGCAUUCCACGAAGGCAGCCCUUUUCUAGAUGGAGAAAACAGAACCUGAAGACACCCGUUUCCCUAAACUGCUCUCGCU